Molecule: long non-coding RNA, 549 nt
Organism: Cyanistes caeruleus (blue tit)
Lineage: Eukaryota; Metazoa; Chordata; Aves; Passeriformes; Paridae
Source: RefSeq, a predicted model, not a curated record
GUGAAAGAUUCCGGCAGCGGAGCCCUUCGGCGUGGUGCGUGAAAAGCGAACAAAAAUAACUUUUAAAACUCCUCGCCUAGGCAUCUUCAGGAGAAAAAAAGGAGCAGAACAGAACCAAACCUGAGCCUGCCUUCAUGAGUGCUGAAGAUGGUGAUGGUACAUCACAGCCACCCAGAACCUUUGUUCAUAUUCUUCAAAAGGAAAAAGAAAAGACUGCUGUAAAGGUUCAGAAGAACUAAGUAUAUGCCAUGAAUUCAGAACUACAAGCUAUAAAAAUGACAAAUAUAUUUAGAAAGGAGAGGUUUUACCAACAUAUAUUUAUACAAAUUUUGAGUUAUUCUAAGAAAGGCAGGAGGCAAAUAGUCCUUUCCUCCCCUCUACUUCUUUGAAUAUGCAAUUAAUUGAUCCUGUUUUUUCAGAUAACUGUAAAACUUUGGAGGGAAUGUAUAAAUCUUUGCUUUUUUUUUUUUUUUUAAUUUUUAAGUAAUAUUGUAUUCCACUAUUUUCUUUUGUUUCAUACAUUUCAUUAAACAGUUUGUUGAAGCCAGA